AGAGUUUGAUCAUGGCUCAGGAUGAACGCUGGCGGCGUGCCUAACACAUGCAAGUCGAACGGACUUACAUUGAAGCCUAGCGAUAUGUAAGUUAGUGGCGGACGGGUGAGUAACGCGUGGGUAACCUGCCUUGUACUGGGGGACAACAGUUGGAAACGACUGCUAAUACCGCAUAAGCGCACAGCUUCGCAUGAAGCAGUGUGAAAAACUCCGGUGGUACAAGAUGGACCCGCGUCUGAUUAGCUGGUUGGUGAGGUAACGGCCACCAAGGCGACGAUCAGUAGCCGGCCUGAGAGGGUGGACGGCCACAUUGGGACUGAGACGGACGCCCAAACUCCUACGGGAGGCA
RNAcentral lists this ribosomal RNA (349 nucleotides) under uncultured bacterium. RNAcentral describes it as "bacterial SSU rRNA". It matches the Rfam family "Bacterial small subunit ribosomal RNA", at positions 8 to 350 of the family's 1533-position model. The record is from RNAcentral.